Ananas comosus (pineapple) is the source of this 813-nucleotide long non-coding RNA. RefSeq lists it as uncharacterized. Lineage: Eukaryota; Viridiplantae; Streptophyta; Magnoliopsida; Poales; Bromeliaceae. The transcript has 2 exons. The record is from RefSeq and is a predicted model, not a curated record.
GUGUUUAAAUUAGGGAAGAGUUUGAAUGAUAGAUUAUGAUUGUUAAGCCUCUAAGUGCCAUGUGAAACCUAGAGCAAAAUGUCUAACUUAGAAUUUCUAAGUUGCUAAUGCCUAUUUGACUGUAUGAAUCUAGAGAAUGCUCUAUGUUGAUGUCAAGUGGACUAGUUUGGGUGAAAAGUAAUUAAUGUGAAAGUUCUAUAUAAUAUAAGGUGGUGGAAUGUGAACAAGCUGUACAUAUAAAUGUAUAUGUACAUGUAUAUACGUAUGAAUGUAUAUAUGCUUAGUGUUGAAAUGGAAACUGAAUUAAGUAAGGUUGAAGUUCUGCAUUAGAAUAAAUAAAACUGCUGCGUAAAAGAAUGGAAUAAAAGAGUAUAUGUAUAGAGGCCUUAACACUAUACAUAUAUAUAUGUAUGUUGAAGUGAAAUGCAAGUUUUGUUAGAAUAGGAGUAUAACUUAAGUUUAAUCUCUUUUAUUCCUUUAUAAAUGAAAGUUAAACUUGCUCGAAAGUCUAAAUUGACAUUCCGACAGGUCGGCGACGUACUAAUUACAGUAGAAGCCAAUUCGGCUCUAAUUGCAUUGAGUCGUGUGAUAUUGUUGUUGGCACAGUUCGAGACGUGGAUUCUAGUUGUUGACACCACUACAGGUUCCAGUGCGAGCAUUGUGGUCGAGGAUCGCGGCAAGAGCCCUGCAGCCUAGCUAGCAGACACCAGUGUUUAGUGGUAUACCAUUUUGAGUUCAAGUGAGACAUUUUGAUGUACAGAGACAUGUAAAUGAAUGUAUUAUAAAGCUGUAAAUAACUAAAUGUUUCAGUUA